GAGUUGUAUGUAGGACUGUGGUCAAAACUGGUACUCUAAUCACAUCCAAAAUACUGUAGUGCAUGCCUCCCCCCAGACUAGGGUUUGCCAGACCCAGCAUGAGCAUCUACUACAAGGAGCUACCAUGGCAAACGACGAGUCCUACACUGGUAUUUAUACCAGGCCAAGUCUCUUCAUCCGGUCCAGGGCCACAGUCUCUUCACCCGGGCAGCGAGGACGUUCUGUCUGUAGACAC
Long non-coding RNA from Sphaeramia orbicularis (orbiculate cardinalfish), 235 nucleotides. RefSeq lists it as uncharacterized. NCBI's taxonomy places the organism in Eukaryota, Metazoa, Chordata, Actinopteri, Kurtiformes, Apogonidae. The record is from RefSeq and is a predicted model, not a curated record. The transcript has 3 exons.